RNAcentral lists this ribosomal RNA (56 nucleotides) under Desulfopila aestuarii DSM 18488. RNAcentral describes it as "16S rRNA. Bacterial SSU". Lineage: Bacteria; Pseudomonadati; Thermodesulfobacteriota; Desulfobulbia; Desulfobulbales; Desulfocapsaceae. The record is from RNAcentral.
CUGGCUCAGAACGAACGCUGGCGGCGUGCUUAACACAUGCAAGUCGAACGCGAACG